This 501-nucleotide ribosomal RNA is filed under the name uncultured bacterium. RNAcentral's name for it is "bacterial SSU rRNA". It matches the Rfam family "Bacterial small subunit ribosomal RNA", at positions 8 to 507 of the family's 1533-position model. The record is from RNAcentral.
AGAGUUUGAUCAUGCUCAGAUUGAACGCUGGCGGAAUGCUUUACACAUGCAAGUCGAACGGCAGCACGGGGCAACCUGGUGGCGAGUGGCGAACGGGUGAGUAAUACAUCGGAACGUGCCCAAUCGUGGGGGAUAACGUAGCGAAAGUUACGCUAAUACCGCAUACGAUCUACGGAUGAAAGCGGGGGAUCGCAAGACCUCGCGCGAAUGGAGCGGCCGAUGUCAGAUUAGGUAGUUGGUGGGGUAAAGGCUCACCAAGCCAACGAUCUGUAGCUGGUCUGAGAGGACGACCAGCCACACUGGAACUGAGACACGGUCCAGACUCCUACGGGAGGCAGCAGUGGGGAAUUUUGGACAAUGGGCGCAAGCCUGAUCCAGCCAUUCCGCGUGCAGGAUGAAGGCCUUCGGGUUGUAAACUGCUUUUGUACGGAACGAAACGGCGAGCUCUAAUACAGUUUGCUAAUGACGGUACCGUAAGAAUAAGCACCGGCUAACUACGUG